AUUUAUAUAGUUUAAACAAAAACAUUACAUUUUCACUGUAAAAAUAAAAAUUUAUUUUUUAUAAAUA
Molecule: transfer RNA, 67 nt
Filed under: Ochlerotatus caspius
Lineage: Eukaryota; Metazoa; Arthropoda; Insecta; Diptera; Culicidae
Also listed under: 2 other names
Description: tRNA-Glu
Source: RNAcentral